RNAcentral lists this transfer-messenger RNA (408 nucleotides) under Candidatus Omnitrophota. RNAcentral describes it as "JAHKBC01 sp018825725 Standard tmRNA". It matches the Rfam family "transfer-messenger RNA". From Rfam's summary of the family: Bacterial tmRNA, also known as 10Sa RNA or SsrA, is named for its dual tRNA and mRNA-like properties. Its role is to liberate the mRNA from a stalled ribosome. Lineage: Bacteria; Pseudomonadati. RNAcentral also lists the same sequence under 1 other name. The record is from RNAcentral.
GGGGGUGAAAGGUCUCGACUUAGGAUAGUUGGGUAAGAGCAGCAUGCCGCGGAGGCAAGGUCGGCCGCGUUAACAAUCCUUGCACAAUUAAACGCAAAACCAACAAUGGUUAACCGUCUACCAGUAGCCGGAUCAGUAAUGGUUCAGCCUCCGGUAGCGGGCGUUCCAGCCUUUAGCUUAAUAUAAGCUAAAGCCUCUCACCAGGUUGCCUGUGGCUUGAAUGAGAGCCCUUAGCAGGAUAGUUCUGGCCAGUUUGCCUUUGGGGCCAGGGCGAAAUUAAAAAGGCUGCGCCCGGAUGUAUCCUGCCUGUCGGAGCCGUCGGGGUUAAGUUUAAAAGAUCAGGCUAAGCAUGUAGUGGCUCUUAUGCUUCUACUUAAGGACGCGGCUUCAAUGCCGCCACCUCCACCA